RNAcentral lists this ribosomal RNA (512 nucleotides) under Anotogaster klossi. RNAcentral describes it as "partial 16S rRNA". It matches the Rfam family "Bacterial large subunit ribosomal RNA", at positions 1819 to 2597 of the family's 2925-position model. The record is from RNAcentral. Lineage: Eukaryota; Metazoa; Arthropoda; Insecta; Odonata; Cordulegastridae.
GUCUUCUUGAUAAAAUAGGAAGUCUGACCUGCCCAGUGAAAAUAUUUUAACGGCCGCGGUAUAUUGACCGUGCAAAGGUAGCAUAAUCAUUAGUCUUUUAAUAGAGGGCUGGAAUGAAGGGUUUAACGAAGUACUUACUGUCUCAUUUAAUUUGAUAUUAAAAUUUACUUUUUCAGUCAAAAAGCUGAAAUACUAUUGGAAGACGAGAAGACCCUAUAGAGCUUUAUAUUUAGUUAUUUAAUAAAUUUUUGAUAUAAUUAUUAUUUAUUAUUUAAUAAAAUAUUUUGUUGGGGUGACAAAAAUAUAUAAUUAACUUUUUUAUUUAUAUAACAUUGAUAUAUGAAAAAUAGAUCCAGUUUUACUGAUUGUUAGAAUAAGUUACCUUAGGGAUAACAGCGUAAUCUUCCUUCAGAGUUCAUAUUCACAGGGAGGCUUGCGACCUCGAUGUUGGAUUAAGAUUAUAAUUAGGUGUAGCCGCUUAAAAAAUAGGUCUGUUCGACCUUUAAAUUCUU